CCGAAGGAGACUCACUUUCCUGGGAGAGUGGAGCUUGGUGCUUGCCUGACACCCCCAGAUCUCUAUUUUGAGCUCUGGGAAGAAAUACCUGGCCUGUGUUCAGGGCCGAUCAUGAAGGCCAUGGGCCAGAAUAGAAUUUAAUAAUUAACUCUGCUUCUCAUUUUAGUCCUUUCUUUGGUUUCAUAGAAGCUGUGUCCAAAAGCUUGAGAAGAAUGUAUCACAGCUCCGUGUUAGAAACAAAAACAAAAAACAAGCCCUCUUUGUGUUCUGUGUACAACUGUUUCAAAAGGACCUCAUUUCUGGAGAUCUUUAUUAGAAGCUGAUGCUGGCCGAUGAUUAGAAGAAAAGCAGCUACUCAUAGAGUCCCUGGAAAAAGUACUGAGUGACAUCAGGAAAGACAGGAAAGGUGACAGGGAUAAUUGUGAUGAUACAAACUUUAUAGAAGUGUGAGAACUAUGCCUGGAAAAUAGUAGGCUGGAGUCAAGCUGCCAUAUUGUGACCUGCUCCGGGAGGUCCAUGUGGCGAGAUGUUGAGGGCAGACUCAGGCCAACAGCCCAUGAGGAACUGAAUCCUGCCAGCAGCCAUAUGAGGACACAUGUCCUGCCUCCUUCAAACCUUGAGAUGAUUGCAGCCCUGGCCAAUAUCUUGAUUGCAGACGACCAGCUAAGUCAUGCCUCAAUUCCUGACCCGCAGAAACUGAAUGAGCUCCAGGAAACCAUUGUCAAGAAAUGGAAACCUGAACUUUAAGGAAACACAUCUAAGAUUUCACCAUUUGGAAUGACAGGUUUUUGUUUUUUCUUCUAAUGGAUACUGUAUUAGUUAGUGUUCUACAGAGAAACAGAACAGGAUGUGUGUGUGUGCGGGGGGGCACGCGCACACGUCUGUGUGUGUAGAGAGAGAGAAAGAGAGAGAAGUAUUUUAAGGAACUGGCUCACACAGUUGUGGAGGCUUGAGUCCAAAAUCUGAUGGGGUAGGCCAACAGGCUGGAGACUCAGGGAAGAGUUGCAGUUUGAAUCCAAAGGCAGCCUGUGGGCAGAAUUCCUUCUUGCUGAGUGAACUACGUCUUUGUUCUGUUAAGGCCUUCAACUGAUUAGCUGAGGCCCAACCACAUUAUGGAAGAUAAUCUGCUUACUUAAAGUCCACCAAUUUAAACGUUAAUCUCCCUUCACAGCCUGCUGGGCCUUUGUGUCUUUGCUGGUUGUCUCUGGGCCUGGCCAGGGAGAGGCCCACAGGCUGCAGGAAGAGCCAUGCACAAUUUACACGGGAGCCUUUGAGUGGGGGCCUGACAGCUGCUGGAGUCAUAGUCCUCAUCCAGAUCAGGGUGGGGCUGACAGACAGGCAUUCCUGGCC
Long non-coding RNA from Cynocephalus volans (Philippine flying lemur), 1350 nucleotides. RefSeq lists it as uncharacterized. NCBI's taxonomy places the organism in Eukaryota, Metazoa, Chordata, Mammalia, Dermoptera, Cynocephalidae. The record is from RefSeq and is a predicted model, not a curated record. The transcript is spliced from 5 exons.